GUCAUCCGCGAUUUCCAGGAAAAAGCGGGCUCUGGGGGACAAAAAUAACCCCGCCGGCUGAAAGCCUCAGCUAGAGGCUGCUGGCUCCGUCUUUACCACGUUCGCCUGUCUCUGCCAUCACAACCCAGCAGAGAAGAUGAGGUUCUCAGAGGCCGUGACCCACCCCUACAGGUGACUCUGUAGGCCCGGCUGGCCUGGAAUUCAGCUGCGCAGGCAAACCCACAGAGCUCUGCCUGCUUCUGCUGCCGGAGUGCUGGGCUAAAGGCGUGUGCCACUAUGACCAGUUUUAAUUAAAGAAAAAAAAUUUUUUUUUUCUGUAUAGAGAUGUUUUGCCUGCAUUUAUGUCUCUACCGCUUUUGUGCCUGGCGCCUGGGGCGGCCAGCGGGGCAUCAUCGGGGUUCCCUGGAACUGGGGUCCCAAAUGUUUGUGAGCACCCAUGGGAAGGCUGAUGAAACCCGGGUCCUCUUGGAGGAGGACCGGAACGUGAGCCAGCUCUCCAGACGCCGAACCUCUACCUCGGGGCCCUGGAGGUGCAGGCCGCUGUCAGCACACCCCGUUCACAGACCUCUUCUUCUGACCGUGAGUCAGCUCUGUCCAGGGCAAAUGUCAACAUAGCAGAUGCAAUUGGAUUGUCAUGGUUCAUACCUGAAAAGCUUGCCAGUCAGGAGCCUGUGUGUGCAAGAGGAUUAAGCGUGUGAUCCAGGGAGCUCCAGUGACAGAAAUGACAAGCAGGGUAAGGAAACUGAGGCACAGACAGCCAAAGGAGCUGCUAAAUAUUUGGACUCGGAUUGAACCCAGACCACUUGCCUCCGCAGCCCUGGCUUUCUGCCCGUGCAUGCUCCCUUCUUCUUGGAGUGGGAGAAGCCGCACAAAGGGCCUUGGUGAGCCAGAGAGGAAGAAUGCUCGGAGGAGAGUCCAGCCAAAAGAGCACUGCGCCUCGGCACGCUCCCGGACGAACCCAGAGUCUGGGCUCGUCAGGGCUACUGAAGAACACGGAGGGAUUAAAUGGAACUUAGCAAUAAUUGCAGCUUAUUAUUUUCCAAGCUUGUUCUUCGUGCCCCGCCCCGUGUCAGCUACAUGGGAGGUAUGUUUGCAAGUCCUUGGCAGGGAGGCUGCGCUCUCCCUGGACGGCACAGGCACCGAGCCUGAGAGAAGGCAGGUCACCAGGCAGGAUCCGACCCAGAGCUGUGGCUUUUCCUGAACCAUCAACCUCCCUAUCUUUCUAUCUUCUGGUUUGAAACAAUACUGUUUUUAUAAUGGAAAAAUGGUUGCGUUUGUUUCGGAAGUCUUGGGAAAAGGGUUUGCUCUGCAGAGCUGGUGACCUGAGUGCCAAUCCCUGGGAUCGUGUCAAAGCUCCCUUUUCUUGACUGUGGCACCUGCGCUCCCAGGGCGAGGUGGAAGGUGGAGCCAGGAAAAUCACCCAGAAGCUCCCGGCACAGCUGGCCUGGAGUCCUCAGCUCAGAGGCAGACAUGGGCCUGCCUCCGCAGGGCCUCAGGUCACACCGGCCCCAGAAGCCUCUGCUCUGCGCAGGACGCACAAAUAAAUAAAA
Long non-coding RNA from Meriones unguiculatus (Mongolian gerbil), 1550 nucleotides. RefSeq lists it as uncharacterized. The transcript has 3 exons. Lineage: Eukaryota; Metazoa; Chordata; Mammalia; Rodentia; Muridae. The record is from RefSeq and is a predicted model, not a curated record.